GGCAGAAGGAGCCGGGCUUAACGCGGGGGGAGCUGCCGCGGAGGGGAAGAGAGGGGCGCGGAGCUGAGUGCCGCAGUGCCGCCGUCGGAGGGGCUGCAGUUCACUCAGUGGCUCAAGCUUCCUGUUUUUGCUGGCCUCCUCACUCAAGUCUACCUUGAGUCCUUCCCUCUGGUGAUUUUGCAAGAAACAAUACAGGCUCUCCUCCCUUCUGCUCGUCCUGACUGAACAUCUUGCUUCCACAGUAGUGUAAGGCCUUCAGUUUUCGGACACUCUCUCUUAUUUUAUUUGAUUUAUUAGCUCCAGUUCUAAUC
Molecule: long non-coding RNA, 311 nt
Filed under: Phasianus colchicus (ring-necked pheasant)
Lineage: Eukaryota; Metazoa; Chordata; Aves; Galliformes; Phasianidae
Description: lncRNA (ENSPCLG00000008038.1)
Source: RNAcentral